CACAGCUCUGUUCUACUACCUGCACCUUAUAAAGAUAUGGAAUGUUGGCCAAGAGGUGCUCCCAGAAUGAACCUAUCCCUAGACAUGGGAUCUUUUCACGGACCUAAUGGCCCUCCCGGAGAACAGAUGAUCCCUGCCUGGUCUCUCUGUGUCAUCCUCCUGGGCUAUGUCUUUGGAUUCCCAGUCCCCUUCAACAGCACUCAGAGGCCUGAGGAGUUGAUGCAGAGUCGGAAUGAGAGAGACAGCAACUCAAUAUUACCUAUACACAGGUAGAACGGUCCUCCACUCCUUAUGGAUAUAAGGGAAAGAAAACGUCCAUUGUAAGUAUG
This is a long non-coding RNA of Oncorhynchus masou masou (cherry salmon), 329 nucleotides long. RefSeq lists it as uncharacterized. The record is from RefSeq and is a predicted model, not a curated record. The transcript has 3 exons. Lineage: Eukaryota; Metazoa; Chordata; Actinopteri; Salmoniformes; Salmonidae.